Molecule: transfer RNA, 84 nt
Filed under: Crocinitomicaceae bacterium
Lineage: Bacteria; Pseudomonadati; Bacteroidota; Flavobacteriia; Flavobacteriales; Crocinitomicaceae
Description: tRNA-Leu
Rfam family: tRNA
About the family: Transfer RNA (tRNA) molecules are approximately 80 nucleotides in length.
Source: RNAcentral
GCCCGGAUGGCGGAAUUGGUAGACGCGCUCGACUCAAACUCGAGUUCCUUUGGAGUGUGGGUUCGAUUCCCACUCCGGGUACAA